RNAcentral lists this ribosomal RNA (1208 nucleotides) under Enterobacteriaceae bacterium 167E. RNAcentral describes it as "bacterial SSU rRNA". It matches the Rfam family "Bacterial small subunit ribosomal RNA", at positions 147 to 1350 of the family's 1533-position model. Lineage: Bacteria; Pseudomonadati; Pseudomonadota; Gammaproteobacteria; Enterobacterales; Enterobacteriaceae. The record is from RNAcentral.
CUACUGGAAACGGUAGCUAAUACCGCAUAACGUCUUCGGACCAAAGUGGGGGACCUUCGGGCCUCACACCAUCGGAUGUGCCCAGAUGGGAUUAGCUAGUAGGUGGGGUAAUGGCUCACCUAGGCGACGAUCCCUAGCUGGUCUGAGAGGAUGACCAGCCACACUGGAACUGAGACACGGUCCAGACUCCUACGGGAGGCAGCAGUGGGGAAUAUUGCACAAUGGGCGCAAGCCUGAUGCAGCCAUGCCGCGUGUAUGAAGAAGGCCUUCGGGUUGUAAAGUACUUUCAGCGGGGAGGAAGGCGAUGGAGUUAAUAGCUUCAUCGAUUGACGUUACCCGCAGAAGAAGCACCGGCUAACUCCGUGCCAGCAGCCGCGGUUAUACGGAGGGUGCAAGCGUUAAUCGGAAUUACUGGGCGUAAAGCGCACGCAGGCGGUCUGUCAAGUCGGAUGUGAAAUCCCCGGGCUUAACCUGGGAACUGCAUUCGAAACUGGCAGGCUAGAGUCUUGUAGAGGGGGGUAGAAUUCCCAGGUGUAGCGGUGAAAUGCGUAGAGAUCUGGAGGAAUACCGGUGGCGAAGGCGGCCCCCUGGACAAAGACUGACGCUCAGGUGCGAAAGCGUGGGGAGCAAACAGGAUUAGAUAACCUGGUAGUUCACGCCGUAAACGAUGUCGACUUGGAGGUUGUGCCCUUGAGGCGUGGCUUCCGGAGCUAACGCGUUWAGUCGACCGCCUGGGGAGUACGGCCGCAAGGUUAAAACUCAAAUGAAUUGACGGGGGCCCGCACAAGCGGUGGAGCAUGUGGUUUAAUUCGAUGCAACGCGAAGAACCUUACCUACUCUUGACAUCCAGAGAAUUCGGCAGAGAUACCUUAGUGCCUUCGGGAACUCUGAGACAGGUGCUACAAAACUGUCGUCAGCUCGUGUUGUGAAAUGUUGGGUUAAGUCCCGCAACGAGCGCAACCCUUAUCCUUUGUUGCCAGCGGUCCGGCCGGGAACUCAAAGGAGACUGCCAGUGAUAAACUGGAGGAAGGUGGGGAUGACGUCAAGUCAUCAUGGCCCUUACGAGUAGGGCUACACACGUGCUACAAUGGCGCAUACAAAGAGAAGCGACCUCGCGAGAGCAAGCGGACCUCAUAAAGUGCGUCGUAGUCCGGAUUGGAGUCUGCAACUCGACUCCAUGAAGUCGGAAUCGCUAGUAAUCGUAGAUC